Molecule: ribosomal RNA, 143 nt
Filed under: bacterium d15(2011)
Lineage: Bacteria
Description: partial small subunit ribosomal RNA
Rfam family: Bacterial small subunit ribosomal RNA
Source: RNAcentral
GUUGUAAGGGAAGAACACGUAUGAGAGUAACUGCUCGUACCUUGACGGUACCUUAUUAGAAAGCCACGGCUAACUACGUGCCAGCAGCCGCGGUAAUACGUAGGUGGCAAGCGUUGUCCGGAAUUAUUGGGCGUAAAGCGCGC